GUUGGUGAGGUAACGGCCCACCAAGGCGACGACGGGUAGCCGGCCUGAGAGGGUGACCGGCCACACUGGGACUGAGACACGGCCCAGACUCCUACGGGAGGCAGCAGUGGGGAAUAUUGCACAAUGGGCGCAAGCCUGAUGCAGCAACGCCGCGUGAGGGACGACGGCCUUCGGGUUGUAAACCUCUUUUAGUAGGGAAGAAGCGAAAGUGACGGUACCUGCAGAAAAAGCACCGGCUAACUACGUGCCAGCAGCCGCGGUAAUACGUAGGGUGCAAGCGUUAUCCGGAAUUAUUGGGCGUAAAGAGCUCGUAGGCGGUUUGUCGCGUCUGCUGUGAAAACCGGAGGCUCAACCUCCGGCCUGCAGUGGGUACGGGCAAACUAGAGUGCGGUAGGGGAGAUUGGAAUUCCUGGUGUAGCGGUGGAAUGCGCAGAUAUCAGGAGGAACACCGAUGGCGAAGGCAGAUCUCUGGGCCGUAACUGACGCUGAGGAGCGAAAGCGUGGGGAGCGAACAGGAUUAGAUACCCUGGUAGUCCACGCCGUAAACGUUGGGAACUAGAUGUGGGGGCCAUUCCACGGCUUCCGUGUCGCAGCCAACGCAUUAAGUUCCCCGCCUGGGGAGUACGGCCGCAAGGCUAAAACUCAAAGGAAUUGACGGGGGCCCGCACAAGCGGCGGAGCAUGCGGAUUAAUUCGAUGCAACGCGAAGAACCUUACCAAGGCUUGACAUAUACGAGAACGCUGCAGAAAUGUAGAACUCUUUGGACACUCGUAUACAGGUGGUGCAUGGUUGUCGUCAGCUCGUGUCGUGAGAUGUUGGGUUAAGUCCCGCAACGAGCGCAACCCUCGUUCUAUGUUGCCAGCACGUAAUGGUGGGAACUCAUAGGAGACUGCCGGGGUCAACUCGGAGGAAGGUGGGGAUGACGUCAAAUCAUCAUGCCCCUUAUGUCUUGGGCUUCACGCAUGCUACAAUGGCCGGUACAAAGGGCUGCAAUACCGCAAGGUGGAGCGAAUCCCAAAAAGCCGGUCUCAGUUCGGAUUGAGGUCUGCAACUCGACCUCAUGAAGUCGGAGUCGCUAGUAAUCGUGGAUCAGCAACGCCACGGUGAAUACGUUCCCGGGCCUUGUACACACCGCCCGUCAAGUCAUGAAAGUCGGUAACACCCGAAGCCAGUGGCCCAACCGCAAGGAGGGAGCUGUCGAAGGUGGGAUCGGUGAUUAGGACUAAGUCGGAACAAGGUAGCCGUACCGGAAGGUGCGGCUG
Molecule: ribosomal RNA, 1262 nt
Filed under: metagenome
Description: bacterial SSU rRNA
Rfam family: Bacterial small subunit ribosomal RNA
Source: RNAcentral